RNAcentral lists this ribosomal RNA (433 nucleotides) under uncultured bacterium. Its description in RNAcentral is "partial 16S ribosomal RNA". It matches the Rfam family "Bacterial small subunit ribosomal RNA", at positions 29 to 507 of the family's 1533-position model. The record is from RNAcentral.
AGCGAACGCUGGCGGCAGGCUUAACACAUGCAAGUCGAGCGGACCUUUCGGGGUCAGCGGCGGACGGGUGAGUAACGCGUGGGAACGUGCCUUCCGGUUCGGAAUAACCCUGGGAAACUAGGGCUAAUACCGGAUACGCCCUUAUGGGGAAAGGUUUACUGCGCGAAGAUCGGCCCGCGUCUGAUUAGCUAGUUGGUGGGGUAACGGCCUACCACGGCGACGAUCAGUAGCUGGUCUGAGAGGAUGGUCAGCGACACUGGGACUGAGACACGGCCCAGACUCCUGCGGGAGGCAGGAGUGGGGAAUAUUGGACAACGGGCGCAAGCCUGAUCCAGCCAUGCCGCGUGAGUGAUGAAGGCCUUAGGGUUGUAAAGCUCUUUUAUCCGGGACGAUAAUGACGGUACCGGAAGAAUAAGCCCCGGCUAACUUCGUG